AUUGCAAAUAAAUGUCGAUCCGGAGAACCGGAAAUAUAUUGACCCGGAGCGGUCCAAUCUAGAACUAACUAAAUAAAUAUUACUAUAUUAAUAUUUUUUCCCUUAAUAUAAAAUUUCUCGUUCGUCCACUUAUAUUUAUUAAUAUUUAUUUUUUAUUGGUAUUUCAUCCUGUAAGCGAUCUCACGGCGAUCUUCUCCGACCUCCGUCCUCCUCGCCUUCCGCUCCAA
This 227-nucleotide long non-coding RNA is filed under the name Elaeis guineensis (African oil palm). Its description in RNAcentral is "long non-coding RNA (EGUI_LNC000771)". Lineage: Eukaryota; Viridiplantae; Streptophyta; Magnoliopsida; Arecales; Arecaceae. The record is from RNAcentral.